RNAcentral lists this unclassified non-coding RNA (633 nucleotides) under Hevea brasiliensis (rubber tree). Lineage: Eukaryota; Viridiplantae; Streptophyta; Magnoliopsida; Malpighiales; Euphorbiaceae. The record is from RNAcentral.
GAGAGGGGGAAGGCGGUUGAAGAGGAAAGACGAUGAGUGAUAUUUUAGUAUUAAGUCUUUAAGGGUAUUAGAAAAUAGGAUAAAUAGGAGAUUUAAUCACAACCGUAAGAUUAAUUUAGAUAAGCGUCUAGGAUUUGAUCUAAGAUUUAUUUUAAAGAUGGAUGGAUGAGAUUAAAAGAUGAGGUCUUGAAAUUAGAUUGAAAAAGAUAUGGAAUGGCUAAAAAUGCAAUGAGAUUGGCUAGAAUUGAAAUGCGAGGGUGGCUGUGAUUGAAAUAAAAUUGGGAUUGGAGUGUAUUACCUUAACAUGGUCAAGUUGAAUUUUGACUAUUGUAAGUUGUUUACUUUCCUCUGGUUUCCUAGUAGUUUAUUAGCCUUGUAUUGUUUCAUAUUUCGAGUUAGAGAAUACCAUAUUCAUGUAGGGAAGAAUAUAUUGCGAAAAUAUCGACUCGUCUGUAUCAUGUUAUUCGCCAUUAUGGUGUUACUUUAUACACUUACUGCUGGAAAUUUUGUUUGUCAUGUUAAUCAGUUUUUCUUAACCUACGUACCCUCAUCAUCUUUAACUCUUCACAGCUGUUAUUCAUUAAUAAAAUUGGUAGUAAUUUAUAAUCACACACAUAUUUUACUCUUGUGUAA